GUGAUAGUGGCUGCCGUGUUGUUGCUGGGGACCUCCCCCAACAGAGGAUCAGACACAGAUCCCGAACUCUGAGGCUUGGAACCCUAGACUGCACUUGAACUAUGAGAUCAGUGACAGGAAUAGCAAUUCUCCUGGCUUUUGGUAUUAUUGGUGAUGCUAAGACCACACAGCCAAAUGCAAUGGAUUGUACUGAAGAAGAAACUGUGCACCUGCCCUGUAACCACUCCACAAUCAGUGGAAAUGAGUAUAUAUAUUGGUAUCGACAGAUUCCCCACCAGGGUCCAGAGUAUGUGAUUUAUGGUCUAAAAAGCAAUGUGACCAAUGGAAUGGCCUCUUUGACCAUCACAACAGACAGAAAGUCCAGUAUCCUGAUCCUGCCCCAGGUCACCCUGAGAGACACUGCUGUGUACUACUGCAUCGUGAGAGAGGCACAUUGGGACAGAUGGGGCUGCACCUGUGCAAGAUCUCCCUGGUGGGGGAAGGGAAGCAGCAGCAGGCAUCCAAAAAUGACACUGCCUCAGAAUGAGCAGAAGCCCAAGAGAAGAAGAAGAAAAGUAAAGGAGGAAAAAAGGAAAAGGAGUAAAGAUAAGAUCAUGAGGAAAUCAAGGAGGAAUGAAAGUAACAAAGAGGAUGAGGAGGAAAGGCUUACAUUAUUGAAGAGACUGAGAAGCUUGGGAGAAAACUAAGAAUCACAAUUGAAAUCCUGCAAUAAAGGGGAAAAGAAAUGAGAAUUUGCCAUGGCUCUUUGUUUUAAUCAAAUGUUACUUUCUUUGUAGGUCUCACUAAAAAAGGUGAGAACAACCAUUUGGUUGUCCCAAAGACUUUCUCCCUUUGGACCCAGAGAAGUGCCCAGGCUCUGGAUAUGGCAUCACAUUACUCCUUUCAACUUCUCAAAAAUGGAAAUGAAUUUUAGAAACUGAUUCAUUUGUCCUUGAGAAAAAUUUGGUAUUUUCUUUUUUGCUUAUCUGUAGCAUGUACAUUUGAGAUAUAGAAGAUUUGGCGAAAGAAGUAAAAACGGUACAGAUAUGUGGAUGUUAAUUUCACUUUUUAUUUUAUUUUGUAAUAUUUUUAUUAUUACACAAAAAUACACAAAUCCUUUCUCACUGUAAAAGACUCAAUAUAUUAUAUAAGUAUGUGGAGUAAAAUCUGAAAGCCCAAAACUGACUCUCCACAUCUCUGUUCCAUUUCCUCUUCGAGUCCUGUAGUCACCCAUUUUGUCAGAUUGGAGUGUGUCCUGCCAAUCACUUCCUUUCCACUUACCUGGAUACUCAUGGAAAGA
This is a non-coding RNA of Equus caballus (horse), 1279 nucleotides long. The record is from the annotation of a RefSeq genome assembly. Lineage: Eukaryota; Metazoa; Chordata; Mammalia; Perissodactyla; Equidae.